UAAUCCACCACUGGCUGUGAGCUUCGCCACACUCCUCCCUUCUUCCCCACCUCGCCCUGGCGCGCUCACCCCUACGUGGGAGAGCUCAGGUACGUAGUUGGAUGGGAUGUCCUGUGAGAAGGCAUGCAGAUAACAGAAAUGUGAGGCAAAAGAGCAAGAAAGAGGCAUUGCAUGUGGCCCUGAGGAUGUAAAGUUGAAUAAGGAUGUUCCUGCCUUUCAAAUGCCAAUAAUCCUUGGAGAAGAUAUGCAAACAUGUGAACACUAUACAAUAUGAUAUGCAUGCCCUUCAAGUCCGUUUCUUAGCCUGUCCACAAACAGUUCUGUCAGCUGCACAGUGACCCGGAGUUCUGCAGCCCCACCUGAGUCUGGGGAAGGGGCAAAGACACCGGCUGGGCAGCUUGCUGGAGCCAGGUGCUGUCUCCUCUCUAACCACGUUGGCCUGUGUGACCCUGCACACGUGAUUGGCUCCCAGUAGUGCCUUCAAGUUAAAAUCCAAGAUCCUGAGCAUGGCCUCACAGAAUCCUUCACCAGCUGGCCGUUUCUCUAGCCUCAAUUCGUCUCUCACCAUGAUGCUGGCCUUGGCUUCUGGGUAUUCUGUCUGCAUUCACGUGGAACUAUCUGGAGGUUAGGGAGUUGAGACCUGGAAAGAUGAAAAGUGAUUUUCCCAAGCGCCUAGAUCAUUGUCCUCUUCAGCAUCACAGUAGCAAACAUUUGCUUGCCUAGUGCCAACUACCGAUCUAGGCACUUCCCACGUAAUUACUGUUGCUGGAGAGAGGUUGGAGCUAUGGCUGCUGGACUAAGUUGAGAGAUACCACGAAAGAGAAGAGGAUCCCGAGAGAUGUUGCAAGUUCUGACAGGUAGCAGCUUCACCUAUGGGGAGACGGGCUGGGUGAGUCAGGAAGGACGCCCUCAGGAUGUGGAUCAUCGCUGGUACUCUCAUUGUUCUUUUUCCGUAUUCUUCACUAUUCUUAUUAUCAUUUUACUUAGGUUCAAUGUAAUUUUGUAAGGCUAACUCGAACCACCAUGUAAUUCUUAAAGGGGAUUUUGAUAAGGUUUCCAAGCAGUGUUGCACAGGUUUCUCAUGUUCCCUGCCCUCAUUACUUUACAAUCUGAUUUGAAGUCAUUGCCCAUCCUGGAGUUUCAGCAGACCAACUGGGCUCCAGGUACAGAGAAAAGGGCAAUCUUUAGGUAGCAAAGGGCUUCCCUGUCUAGUUUCUGGCUCAGAGAAGCACAAAUAUCCACUUUUCAUGUGUAUCAGAUCCAGAAUCAUCUGUAAGAGCUGGGCUGACUUCAGGAGCAGAUGAUUUUUCCCUUUCAUCUCUAACAAAUAAUGGUGCUUAGAGCAAUGCGUGUUUACCGGUAACAAAUUCCACCAAUGGGUGUGGUUGAAAAGUUGAGUGCUGUGGACCGAGUGGCUUCAGCUAUUGUCUACAGCAUUUCCUCCCUUGUCUGGGAGGUUCUGGCUCCUCCGGCAAGGGCAGUUGCAGGCCCAAAUAAAUGUCUGGGUUUUCUUACUCAAGGAUGAGGAGGUGAGGGCGGCGGGGCAGUGGGGGCGGCGGUGGAGCAGGCUUUCUGGCAGGGAUUCCACUAGGGGGUAAGUCUAUCUUUAAAACAAAGUAAACUGGGGCCACCCGUCUCAGCAGCUAAAUGAUUUCCUGGUUGAUAGGAGGUGAGGACAAGAUGAAUGGCUCUGGGAAAAGAAACUGUGAGGAGAGAAAGGAAGAAGAAAAAUGAGAGAAGCAUUGAGGAAGACUUAUGAGCCAGAAGAAACGUAAAGGUAGACGAUUUGCUUUUUCAGUUUGGAGCGGAGACAGGAAGAUAAUCCCUUUGUCCUCAAAUAGUAAAAGCCCUGGGGUCUGUUCUUCCCUGGGAGUCCCCGGCGAUGAUACUGAGCCCCUAGGGAAAGACAGCCAGCUUGCCUGAGGUUUCCAAAUCCUGUCUUGUGGUGAGAGGCUGAAGACUGUCAGGGCCAGAAUCAAUACCUGUCGUGUACACAUCAGAGGUGGUGCCCUCAGAUAGGAUUAGGCUGUCUGGCCAUCGUUUGUCAUGGGUAUUUCUCUGCAAAUGUUGUAUGGUUAUCAGUCCAGUUCACCUGAUUUUUUUCUUUUUUUUUUUUUUAAAAACAAAACUGCAGGCCAUCUUUGAGAAGACCUCAGCCUAAACGGUGGAAAUACAUAGAUUCAUUUGUGCCUUGAAUUCACACGUAGCAAAAACAGCACACACCAGCAGCGGCUUGUCCUCUGUCCCCAUCCAUUAGGAUUAUGAUAAAUGAGGUCGGAGGAAGGCUGGGUCUGGGUGAUUCCAUUUGUGUGUUGGUUUCUUCCUGUCCUCUGGGUUUUGGGUCACCUGCUGCUCUGUGUCAGUAGCAGAGUACUGGGUCACAUCCAGCACUCUCUAGGUUUUAUGGGUCACUCUCUUGAAUGAAAGCUUGAUUUUCCACAGAAGAGAAUGCUGUCUCCGGCAAUUGUUCAAAAUGUAGCAUCUCAAAUGUAGACCCUUCAACUGUGUUUACAUGCCUUGUGCAGGCUUUUUCUUUUCUUAGCUUUCAAUUCUUCAGAUAUGGAAUAUGCUGGAGAUGUGACUCCUUUGUUGUUCAAGGGUGAUUUGCAUAUCAUCUUGACUGAUGUGCGUGAACAACUUGCCUGUGACCGGGGCUGUGGUGGCAAGGGCUGUAGAGACAUCUGUGACUUUUGAUGGAAGGAAGCAGUUUCUUACUGAGAGUCACUGACUCCUUAACUCCCUCUAGUCUGUCUGUGAGUUCCAUGUUGCCUUCAUGACUGCUCAGCUCAGCUGAAUACUGUCCUCUUGCUAUUUAAUUAAGAUUUUGUUGUUUUUUGAAACCCUAUAAAUGUGUAAUCUCUGUGUCUCUGUCUCUCUCUCUCACAUACACAUGUAACAGUGAAUGACUCAUAAAUAUGAAAAGUAAAAUUUUGAAUUUUAACUCCGGAAAAUCAACCUGAUUGAUAAAGUACUGAUAUAAUAUUUCCAAAGUGGAAAUUCAUGAAGAAAAUAGAUUCUUAGGCACUUAGUAAUACCAGGAACAUUUUACCAGCAUUGUCUCAUUUAACUUCUAACAACUUUUAAAGACAGGGUAUGCUUUAUUGUAGCAAUCAAGCAAUUGUAACUUGCCAAGGCCACGGUAAGCACGGGGCCAGGCCAGGGGCCUGCUGAUGUCCCACACUGUUAAUUAUUCUCUAUGCUGAGCUUUAGCUACUUUGCAGCUAUUUAUUGCAUUAAAUUCAUAAUCCCGCUUUCAUCAUAGUAAAAACAGUAAUAGUCACACAACAGAACUAUUUGCAGUGGCCUCUGGCCAAGGCCAUUUGAUCCAGAGUCAAAACCUCUUAUUUGUACAGUGCUUUUACUUUGUCAAAAUCUAAUAAGGGUGGUUUUCAUACCUGAGGACAAUCAAACUGAUGUCUAUUUAGUAUAGUAACAUAUCAAAUUAUUAAUGGCAUAUAUAUUUUAGUAUGUUUCUAUGCUUAUCAUUCUGUUUUAGAAAGUUGGGGGCUCAAAAAUGCUUUAGAAAAAUUUCUUCUCCAAGGACAGGAGAUGGCUAGGUGUCCCUUUUAAAGGCAAUGCUUCUUAGUGAGAGAGUGGAGAUGAGAAUUCAUGUCCCUAACUGAGAGUUUAUUGUCCUUUCUAAUAACACCACACAAUCUGGUGUCUAUCUAAAGGCGUGGGUUCCUUGUCUAUUAAUAGCUCUACUAUUAAUAAUGUGCAGUGACUGGAUAUGCCAAGAUUUUGCUGGUGUUUUGGAGAACUGAAAAGGUUUCCGAGUUAUAUCUAGAAAGUCUUUGGAAUUUUUUCAACAUGCUAUAUGACUGGCAGCUGAAAAUAUGACAAGUAGGAAGGAAACGAGAAUGCAUUGACAAUCUGUUAUUUGCUAGACCUAUCAGUAGGCACUUUUUCUAUAAUAACCUUGUGAAACUGAUAUUAACUCUACUUGGUAGGGGAUGGAAGGUCAGAGAAAUUAGUAAUUGCUCCCAAGUUGUACCCUAAGAGUGUUUGAAUCUAGUCUGUCCAAUACCGAAGCUUUUACACUUUUAUUUCCUUGCCGCCAUGUAGUUUGAAAAAAUCAAAUACAUAGCAUUUCGUGCCUGGACCACCUCAGCAAGAAAACUGGGCACUCACUGAAGUAACAUACACUAAAAAUAAACACCCCUCUUCCUCCCACGAGCUUCCCAAGGUUGCAGAGAGGAACACUGGAGGUCUCCUAAGCAUAGGAAUGCUGCCUACAGUAAUCUAACAUCAGAGAAUAUCAUUCAGAUCACUUUUUUCUUCUUUUCUGAGUUUGUCUCUCGGAUCCCAUAUAUACUUUUGAAGUUUUUGUGAUGGAAAUUUUCAAGCAUACACUACAGUAGAGAGAACAGUAUAUUGAAGAACUGGGUACCUGGACCUGGCUUCAAUAAUUUCUGCCUUAGGGCACCUGGGUGGCUCAGUUGGUUAAGCAUCUGACUCUUGAUUUUGACUCAGGUCAUGAUCCCAGGGUCAUGUGAUGGAACCCUGAGUUGGGCUCUGUGCUGAACGUGGAGCUUACUUGAGAUUUUCUCUCUUCCUCUCCAUCUGCCCCUACCCCACUCUCUCUUUUUUUCUUUCUCUCUCUCAAAACAAUAAUAGUUCAUGCCCUAGUUUUAUGCUCUCUAUAUACUCUAUAUAUGUUGGCAUAAAUUAUGGAUGGUGUGUCUGCAUUUGAUGGUGAGUAGAUAAUGGACCAUACAUAUGCUUUUUACCUUUUAGGCCCUAGUCCUUUUUUU
Panthera uncia (snow leopard) is the source of this 4754-nucleotide long non-coding RNA. RefSeq lists it as uncharacterized. NCBI's taxonomy places the organism in Eukaryota, Metazoa, Chordata, Mammalia, Carnivora, Felidae. The transcript has 8 exons. The record is from RefSeq and is a predicted model, not a curated record.